This 468-nucleotide ribosomal RNA is filed under the name uncultured bacterium. Its description in RNAcentral is "partial 16S ribosomal RNA". It matches the Rfam family "Bacterial small subunit ribosomal RNA", at positions 28 to 507 of the family's 1533-position model. The record is from RNAcentral.
GACGAACGCUGGCGGCGUGCUUAACACAUGCAAGUCGAACGGAAAGGCCCUGCUUUUGUGGGGUGCUCGAGUGGCGAACGGGUGAGUAACACGUGAGUAACCUGCCCUUGACUUUGGGAUAACUUCAGGAAACUGGGGCUAAUACCGGAUAGGAUCUCCUGCUGCAUGGUGGGGUUUGGAAAGUUUCGGCGGUUGGGGAUGGACUCGCGGCUUAUCAGCUUGUUGGUGGGGUAGUGGCUUACCAAGGCUUUGACGGGUAGCCGGCCUGAGAGGGUGACCGGCCACAUUGGGACUGAGAUACGGCCCAGACUCCUACGGGAGGCAGCAGUGGGGAAUAUUGCACAAUGGGCGGAAGCCUGAUGCAGCAACGCCGCGUGCGGGAUGACGGCCUUCGGGUUGUAAACCGCUUUCGCCUGUGACGAAGCGUGAGUGACGGUAAUGGGUAAAGAAGCACCGGCUAACUACGUG